GGGGGUCCCAGCUCCGGACCACCAGCGCUGGCCGACAGAGCUGAAAGGUUCGCGGUCUAUGAGCUAGUCCCGGACCUUGCAAGGGCUCUGAAAUAUUCGUGCGAGGAUGGGUUAGAAGUGGCGUAUGGGUCCGGACCAUUGAGCUUUCUGGGAGAGUCUCCACACGUGGGUCCCAAACCCCCAGCCCGGCUCUCACCAAGUGGAGAGACGGCCAAGGUCAAGAAGACUGUAUCAAACUGCACAAGCUGGAGACAUCCACAAUCUGUACAGAAGAAGCUGCCGGCAGUCUUCCCUCAGGGAGCUGACAGUCUAGCCUUGUGCAAGUAUCAUUGCCGUCAUUUUUGGGUGGGGGACCCUUCAGGAGUGGUUUCAUCAGGGAGAUCAGGCCAGAGGCAAAGGAUGCAAGUGGCACUCUCACUCAGGCCAGCAAUGAAAGGGAAGAAAGGGGAAUGAUUUGCACAGGCUUUGUGUCUUUGGUGGCUAAAAGAUCAAGUAGAAGGAAGAACAAAACAUUCCAUUUUGUUGUAAGCCAUCCUGUACUUUGAUUUUAUGGCACUUACAUAUUUUGUAAUGAUACGUUUUUCUGGUAUGAGAGCUAAAACAUUAUAGAAUGAACUCUGGCAUCUGACUAUCUAUCUUGGAUUUCUGGGUAACUCAGUAGCCAGC
RNAcentral lists this long non-coding RNA (666 nucleotides) under Marmota monax (woodchuck). The record is from RNAcentral. Lineage: Eukaryota; Metazoa; Chordata; Mammalia; Rodentia; Sciuridae.